CAGAAGCUUUCUAGAUCUGGCUGCAAAAUGAACAACACAGUCUCUGUUAUAAAGAAAACCACAGCUUGAAAAAAAUAGUACGGACACAGCUGAUUCACCAGGGUGACUCAUACCUGGGAUCACGGCGCCUCGACUCGGCUUCCCAUGGCCUGUCGUGGCUUGCGAAGGACCAUGGCAACUUGAACAGACAGAACUUUCCCCUUGAAUGCUGGGGACGGAUCCACCCGGCUGGGUACAGGAUGGAGAAUCUUCUCCCACUUCCCCUACGGGAAAGGACAAUGUAGUCUCUGCACAUGAACCCACUGCUCCUUCUUGGACCCUGGGGUACAUUCCAAAGGGGUGUUGACAUCUCACCGCAGAGACUUGGAGUGUAAGAAGAGCAAAUUGCUCACAGGCCUCUAUGCCAGCAGAGCUCUCUGGAAGCCACUGGAUCUUGUCUGGAAUCCCUUCUAAUUAGGUACAAUAAAACGGAUCGCAUACAUGUUCAUAGCAGCAUUAUUCCCAAUAGCCAAAAGGUGGAAGCAACCCAAAUGGUGAAUGGAUAAACACAUUCAUGUUAUGGCCCAUGAUGGAAUAUCACUCAGUUGUAAAAAGGAAUGAUGUCCUGAUUAAUGCUGCCACAUGGAAUAACCUUGAAAACAUGCUAGGAGGUGAAACAAGCCAGACACAAAAGCCACAUUUUGUAGGAUUCAAUUUCAUUAUUGGUUGAUUUGAGAAUCAAUGUUUUUAUGUAUUCUCGCAUUGCCCAAUUCCAAAAAGGGUUUGGAGCAGCUUACAAACAUGCCCACGCAAAGGGAGCCACAAAAUAAUGGCAAACUGACAAUGGAACGGAGGGUGAAGGAAGAAAUGGUGAAUAUUAGACUUGUGGUGCACAACCCAACAACGUGCAACGUUCACUUAUCAACCAGGCAGGUUUACUUAGGACAGAAGAAAAACCUGAUGUGGCUACACCAUUCUGUCUGAUUCCAUUUACAUGGAAUGCCAGAAUAGGCAAAUUCAUAGAGGGAGAAAGUAAAUUCGUGGUUCCAGCGGCUGAGAGAAGGGGUUCAUGAGGAGUUACUACUUAAUGGGAACAGGAUAUCCUUUUGGGGUGUGAUGAAGAUUCUCUGAAAUUAGAAGAUGGUGAUGGUUGCACAACCUUGUGAAUAUGCUUAAACCAUUGAAUUGUACAUUUUAAAUGGGUGAAUUUAAGGUUAUGUGAAUUGUAUCUCUAUAAAAAUAUUGGGUUACAUUAUAAAAUUGGAAAAAAAAAGAAAGAUCGAUGACCUCUUUACUUCUAUGUUUUCCCUUAGAAAUGGAAACCAGAUAUAUGUUUCAAUAUUGAUUUGGUGAUGCUUGGUUUCUUUAAAGGAGAAAAAAUUUCUGUGGAUAAGUGAUAAGGUGGCUUGAGAGGCUGUCCACGGACCCAGCAGUAUGGGGGGAGGAAUCCCCCUGUGGAGACAGCACAGGUGAUUGUCCAGGCCUGAGAAAGGCAAGGCUCUUGUAGAGCUCGCAAAGCUCAGUGUAAGAAAAUAAAUGGGAGCAGGCACACAUUACCCUUGGAGCCAGACAACCUGGGUUCACAUCCUGGCCACGCCACUAAGAGCUGUGUGACCUUAAGCAGAUUGCCUAAACUCUCUGUGCUUAAAUGACCUCAUCGACAAGAUGAGGAAACUAAUAGUACCUACCUUGAUGCAUGCUUUUGGGGGAUUCAAUGAUGAAUUGUCAUCUGUAAAGAGACCCAGAGUUCUGUAAACUGCUAUGUGUAUUUUUAUCAAAGAAAAUAAUCUAGUAA
Molecule: long non-coding RNA, 1774 nt
Filed under: Homo sapiens (human)
Lineage: Eukaryota; Metazoa; Chordata; Mammalia; Primates; Hominidae
Description: HSALNT0233934
Source: RNAcentral